Xyrauchen texanus (razorback sucker) is the source of this 3144-nucleotide long non-coding RNA. RefSeq lists it as uncharacterized. The transcript has 4 exons. NCBI's taxonomy places the organism in Eukaryota, Metazoa, Chordata, Actinopteri, Cypriniformes, Catostomidae. The record is from RefSeq and is a predicted model, not a curated record.
GGUAAGCAGUUCUUAUUUUUUCUCUCCAAAUAAAAGUUAAAAUUUUGUUUGUCAUAGUACCUACAUGACUUUUUAGUUCUCAUUACUGAAACAUGAGUUUGUGAAGUUUUAAAAAAUGUUGCCGUUUUAAUUUUUUGAUUACUAUAUACCCCAUUAUGGUCUAAAUAUAUAAAGAGAGGGAAAGUUUAGCUAACCCUCAUUUAGCUUCCACAGUUAGCAAGAAUGUUUAAGGUCGCUCAUCCUCCGCAACACCAUUAUCAUUCACCGCAACAAUUGAAGGCCUGUUGCGGUGGAAAUACUCAAUGUUUCGGUAAUGAGAAACAGACUUAUGAAGGAGGGACAUGCACUAUAACUCUUGCUCAUUUCAAUAUAACUUGAUAUUUGCCUUAAACACUUAAAAUAGCAAAAAUAACAAAAUAGCUAUUACAACCCCCCCAGCAGGGGUCACAAAUGUUUCAUUCUUAUGAAGUGCUUCCACAAAAAGCAGUAUGAAUGCAGUAUAGGCCACCUACUAUAAAUGUAAUAUUAUUUAAUAUUUUUACUGUGAAACAAUGUAUUUCUAUGUCUUUUUCAUGAAAUGUUACAUUCAAGAUGACUAUUGUAUAUUUUGUAACCGCUUCCUGUCACCUCCUCUGCUAGACAUUUCUGCAUUUUACCUGACAUAUGGGCAAAACACAAUAAACGCUCAUGAAUGAGUUACAGUUGGGGGAAAACGUGAUUGGUACAAAGCAGUCGUUCCAGUUGUUUGUUUUAGUUGUUUGACCAACUCAUAAAUCGAGUUGCUGCUAUUCAAGUUCUUCACAUGAAAUUAUUCUCAGAAAAAGGUUGUGUGGUUGAAUGUCAGGACCAAAGCGUUUUAGCUAAACUAAAAUCUUUUUACAAGAGCACAUGAUGCUGUUACAUUUAAAUGUUUCUCAGGACCACAUGAUGAUAUGUUACAUUGAAAAAGUUCUCAUGAACACAUAUGUUAUAUGUUAUACUAGAAUGAUAAUAUUUCUACUAAUGGUUGUAUAUUUGUUAGUACUACAGUGUAGGCUACAUGACAUGAUUCUUUAUGAGCAUAAGAUUGUAACUUGUAUACACAACACUUGUUAACACAAGGCAUGGUACUGUGAUGAUUACGAUAAAUGAGAAAAUGAAACUCUGUUUAUGAAAUAAAUAUUCUUUUAAAAAUUGUAUGCGUUUUAAAUAUGUAAAAUAGGGUUAGGCAUCAAACCCCUUUGUCAACAGUGAAUAUGUGAGCUAAAUCUCAUUUCCGAAACAUUGAUCCUCAUUACCGAAAUGGUAUUUUCAUUACCGCAACAUGUAUCUUUUUUACAAAUUAAGUAAUAAUUCGAUAAUCAUAUUUUGUUUUAAAAUGUAUAUACAUAUUAUACAACACUACUUAUUUAAGGUCUGCUACAUAACAAAUGUGUAUGUUAUUUUUUAGUAAAACAAUUAAAUAAAAGAAAUUGUAAAUCAUCACAUGAUUAAUGAGAGAAAAUAAGGAAAUUACAAAAAAUAAUAAAUAUGAAAAAGUAAUCUCUCCAGAGUUUUACAUAGCUUUGAGCAUGAGUAAUAAGAGUCUACUUUAACAUUAGCCAAAAAUACACAUUUUUAACCAUAUAUUUAAUGUAAUGUCAUGUUGCGGUAAUGAUAAUUUUUUAUGGACUUCAUCUAAAAAAUUUAAAUAAUUAUAUAGGAAAUAUUUUUUUAAAUCUUGUAAAAAUAAUGGUUAUAGUAAGUUCAGACCUUAAUCUUAUAUGUGCAAAAAGAAAAUUGGCUUUAAGGGCAUUUAAAAAAUUCUGAUGCUGGACACCUUCUAAAUCUGGAUUUCUUGAGAAUCACCCAAAUGUGGCCAUUUUUCCUGGAGCCUCUGGUGUUUUCAGCACAUUGGAUCUUACUCCAAGAGCUCUGUAUGAGAUUCACGGUGAGGUGAAGAACACCUCAUCAGCUUCAAAUACCACAGCUCAACAUUCAUGCGAACACCUGCGACUACUCCUAAUCCAACUGUGCAGUUCAAACAUUUCAAAGGUAACUUCUUAAAUGACGGUGAUACGAUUUAUAAUUUCAAAUGUACCAAUUACAGGACGGGAAAUAAAAUAUAAUUAAAUAUAAUUGCAAAACACCUACUUCACAUUUGAUGAUAUGAUCAACUCCAGUUGCCAGUCUUUGUCUCAUUUGUAGUUGUAGUGUAAUAGUUAAUACUACUUGUUGUACAUUUCAUUUACAUUAUUAUGCACAUUUUAACAUUUCCCCCUGACUUUCAUAACCUCUGCCAAGAAAGUGCCGGAGGUUAUGUUUUUGCAGUGUCUGUCAGCAAUCUUAUGCAAAAUGUUAUGAAAGUAUUUACAUGGAACUUUGUGUAUUGUUUGGUCCUGAGCCAAGGAAGAGAUAAUUACAUUUUCACACCAGUCAACCCACAGAUACUAUAAGAACAAACUGAGUGCAUUUUAUAGUUAUUGUUGAUAUACAAAAUACAUAAGACUAUUAACCAUUACUAGGAUUAUGAAUGCCGUGUGUUUUAAUAUGAUAUUCUUCCAGAUAAAUUUUUCUUGCUGAGGUGGUUGGUGGGAGGUUGAGUCCCAGCAGAAUGGUGGUGUUCAGGUUUUUGGAAUGUGAGGCUACCCUUCACGGGAAAAUCAGAAAAGUGCAAGAUGCCAUUGGAAGUCAUAACCCCGAAGGAACAACAGGGUCACAGUUCUGGAAACAAAAUGCAUGAAAGAUUCUUGCUGUACAAGAACAGGGCUUCCAGGGCACCAAAAGGAGGAGAAUGAUCCGAAAAGAUGAAGAUGCUGCAGGCAUUGGAGAGGUCACUGAGAAGAUAGAAGAGCUUGUACUGGCAUCACAGAGCCUACCAGAUGUCACUGCAGCAAUCAGAGAGCUCACCAAUCUAGCUGCCACUGAAAGAGUGAUCCUGACUCCUUCCCAGCUACAGACCAUCAAGCAAGGGUUCUGCUGUGUUGUUUGUAUGAUUCAUCGAGAAGCCAGUCUUCACACAGUGUUGCCGGAGCAUUAUUGGCUGCAAAACAUGUGUGGAACAGUGGCAGGAGACCUUAAUAUUUGCAAUUAAUGGUCUUUCAGAGGCAUGUUCUGUUCUGAGAUCCUUUUUUGAUCCCUGUGGGGUUUUUUUGGGACACCCACGGCAGGCCAAGUAAUUUGGUA